This 253-nucleotide ribosomal RNA is filed under the name uncultured bacterium. RNAcentral's name for it is "partial 16S ribosomal RNA". It matches the Rfam family "Bacterial small subunit ribosomal RNA", at positions 524 to 776 of the family's 1533-position model. The record is from RNAcentral.
UACGUAGGGUGCAAGCGUUAAUCGGAAUUAUUGGGCGUAAAGAGCUCGUAGGCGGUCUGUCGCGUCUGCUGUGAAAACUCAGGGCUUAACCCUGAGCUUGCAGUGGGUACGGGCAGACUAGAGUGCGGUAGGGGAGACUGGAAUUCUCGGUGUAGCGGUGAAAUGCGUAGAUAUCGAGAGGAACACCUGCGGCGAAGGCGGGUUGCUGGGCUGACACUGACGCUGAUGCGCGAAAGCCAGGGGAGCGAACGGG